AAUGUAUGACGCUGUUGACUUUUCGUCCAACGUUUGACCAUUCGUCUUAUUCAAAAAAUUUAUGUAAUUAUUAUUUAUUUUGUUGUGACUUAAUUCAUCAUCAAAUAUUCUUUAAGAAUGACAUAAAUAUUUUCAUAUUUUCACAGAAAAUUUAAAUAAAACGAAUGGUCAAACAUUGGUUAAAAAGUUAACGGCAUCAUACAUU
This is a non-coding RNA of Oryza barthii, 205 nucleotides long. Lineage: Eukaryota; Viridiplantae; Streptophyta; Magnoliopsida; Poales; Poaceae. The record is from Rfam.